CAAUAGCGUAUAUUAAAGUUGUUGCAGUUAAAAAGCUCGUAGUUGGAUUUCUGGGAGGGUGCCAAUGUCCGCCGUCGUGCGUGCGCAGCGGCGCCCUUCCAUCCUUCUGUUAACGCCUCUUGGCAUUCAUUUGCUGGUGGCGGGCUCAGAUAUUUUACCUUGAGAAAAUUAGAGUGUUUCAGGCAGGCUAGGCCGGAAUACAUUAGCAUGGAAUAAUGGAAUAGGACUACGGCCUCGUUGUUGGUUUGAGGGACUGCAGUAAUGAUUAAUAGGGAUAGUUGGGGGCAUUAGUAUUUAAUUGUCAGAGGUGGAAUUCUCGGAUUUGUUAAAGACUAACUUAUGCGAAAGCAUCUGCCAAGGAUGUUUNCAUUA
This 372-nucleotide ribosomal RNA is filed under the name uncultured eukaryote. RNAcentral's name for it is "partial 18S ribosomal RNA". It matches the Rfam family "Eukaryotic small subunit ribosomal RNA", at positions 592 to 975 of the family's 1831-position model. The record is from RNAcentral.